ACCGCGGUUAUACGAGAGGCCCAAAUUGAUGAAAAACGGCGUAAAGCGUGGUUAAGAAAAUAAGAGAAAAAUAUGGCCGAACAGCUUCAAAGCAGUUAUACGCAUUCGAAGCCACGAAGAACAACCACGAAAGUUGCCCUAAAACCUCUGAUUCCACGAAAGCCAUAAA
This 169-nucleotide ribosomal RNA is filed under the name Eleginus gracilis (saffron cod). RNAcentral's name for it is "partial small subunit ribosomal RNA". Lineage: Eukaryota; Metazoa; Chordata; Actinopteri; Gadiformes; Gadidae. The record is from RNAcentral.